RNAcentral lists this non-coding RNA (24 nucleotides) under Arabidopsis thaliana (thale cress). The record is from RNAcentral. Lineage: Eukaryota; Viridiplantae; Streptophyta; Magnoliopsida; Brassicales; Brassicaceae.
UCGGAGAGACGGGGCUAGCUACCC